Molecule: ribosomal RNA, 254 nt
Filed under: uncultured bacterium
Lineage: Bacteria
Description: partial 16S ribosomal RNA
Rfam family: Bacterial small subunit ribosomal RNA
Source: RNAcentral
UACGUAGGGUGCAAGCGUUGUCCGGAAUUAUUGGGCGUAAAGGGCUCGUAGGCGGUCUGUCGCGUCGGGAGUGAAAACUCAGGGCUUAACCCUGAGCCUGCUUCCGAUACGGGCAGACUAGAGGUAUGCAGGGGGAGAACGGAAUUCCUGGUGUAGCGGUGGAAUGCGCAGAUAUCAGGAGGAACACCGGUGGCGAAGGCGGUUCUCUGGGCAUUACCUGACGCUGAGGAGCGAAAGUGUGGGGAGCGAACAGG